Non-coding RNA from Pelobates cultripes (western spadefoot toad), 238 nucleotides. The record is from the annotation of a GenBank genome assembly. NCBI's taxonomy places the organism in Eukaryota, Metazoa, Chordata, Amphibia, Anura, Pelobatidae.
GGUUAUUGUGCCUGGAUUGUUACUUUAAAUAAUCUACCAGUGCCCCUGCCGAGGUUAAAUUUUGGAUCCGCACCUGGUCUGCGUGUAUCUGCCACUGUGCAUCUAUAUGUGAGACUGUGUCUAGGUAUAUGUGUGUGUGUUAUUGUGUGCAUGUGAGUGCAUGUAUAUUUGCAUAUAUAUGUAUUUAUGUAUAUUACUGUGUGUGCAUGUGGAGGACAAAAUAGGGGGGUUACUAGAC